GGCGAACGGGUGAGUAACACGUGGGCAAUCUGCCCUGCACUCUGAGACAAGCCCAGAUAUAAGGGUCUAAUACCGGAUAUGACCGUCUGCCGCAUGGUGGAUGGUGUAAAGCUCCGGCGGUGCAGGAUGAGCCCGCGGCCUAUCAGCUUGUUGGUGAGGUAGUGGCUCACCAAGGCGACGACGGGUAGCCGGCCUGAGAGGGCGACCGGCCUAACUGGGACUGAGACACGGCCCAGACUAAUCCGGGAGGCAGCAGUGGGGAAUAUUGCACAAUGGGCGAAAGCCUGAUGCAGCGACGCCGCGUGAGGGAUGACGGCCUUCGGGUUGUAAACCUCUUUCAGCAGGGAAGAAGCGAAAGUGACGGUACCUGCAGAAGAAGCGCCGGCUAACUACGUGCCAGCAGCCGCGGUAAUACGUAGGGCGCAAGCGUUGUCCGGAAUUAUUGGGCGUAAAGAGCUCGUAGGCGGCUUGUCACGUCGGUUGUGAAAGCCCGGGGCUUAACCCCGGGUCUGCAGUCGAUACGGGCAGGCUAGAGUUCGGUAGGGGAGAUCGGAAUUCCUGGUGUAGCGGUGAAAUGCGCAGAUAUCAGGAGGAACACCGGUGGCGAAAGGCGGAUCUCUGGGCCGAUACUGACGCUGAGGAGCGAAAGCGUGGGGAGCGAACAGGAUUAGAUACCCUGGUAGUCCACGCCGUAAACGGUGGGCACUAGGUGUGGGCAACAUUCCACGUUGUCCGUGCCGCAGCUAACGCAUUAAGUGCCCCGCCUGGGGAGUACGGCNGCAAGGCUAAAACUCAAAGGAAUUGACGGGGGCCCGCACAAGCGGC
This 825-nucleotide ribosomal RNA is filed under the name Streptomyces sp. JMCNT09. RNAcentral describes it as "bacterial SSU rRNA". It matches the Rfam family "Bacterial small subunit ribosomal RNA", at positions 97 to 933 of the family's 1533-position model. Lineage: Bacteria; Bacillati; Actinomycetota; Actinomycetes; Kitasatosporales; Streptomycetaceae. The record is from RNAcentral.